AGCGAACGCUGGCGGCAGGCUUAACACAUGCAAGUCGAACGGGCAUCUUCGGAUGUCAGUGGCAGACGGGUGAGUAACACGUGGGAACGUACCCUUCGGUUCGGAAUAACUCAGGGAAACUUGAGCUAAUACCGGAUACGCCCUUUUGGGGAAAGGUUUACUGCCGAAGGAUCGGCCCGCGUCUGAUUAGCUUGUUGGGUGGGUAAAGGCCUACCAAGGCGACGAUCAGUAGCUGGUCUGAGAGGAUGAUCAGCCACACUGGGACUGAGACACGGCCCAGACUCCUCCGGGAGGCAGCAGUAUGGAAUAUUGGACAAUCGGCGCAAGCCUGAUCCAGCCGUGCCGCGUGAGUGACGAAGGCGUUAGGGUUGUAAAGCUCUUUUGUCCUGUACGAUAAUGACGGUACCGGAUGAAUAAGCCCCGGCUAGCUACGUG
This 435-nucleotide ribosomal RNA is filed under the name uncultured bacterium. RNAcentral's name for it is "partial 16S ribosomal RNA". It matches the Rfam family "Bacterial small subunit ribosomal RNA", at positions 29 to 507 of the family's 1533-position model. The record is from RNAcentral.